RNAcentral lists this ribosomal RNA (432 nucleotides) under uncultured bacterium. RNAcentral's name for it is "partial 16S ribosomal RNA". It matches the Rfam family "Bacterial small subunit ribosomal RNA", at positions 29 to 506 of the family's 1533-position model. The record is from RNAcentral.
AACGAACGCUGGCGGCAUGCCUAACACAUGCAAGUCGAACGAGACCUUCGGGUCUAGUGGCGCACGGGUGCGUAACGCGUGGGAACCUGCCCUUAGGUUCGGAAUAACUCCCCGAAAGGGGUGCUAAUACCGGAUAAUGUCUUCGGACCAAAGAUUUAUCGCCUUUGGGUGGGCCCGCGUUGGAUUAGCUAGUUGGUAGGGUAAAAGCCUACCAAGGCGACGAUCCAUAGCUGGUCUGAGAGGAUGAUCAGCCACACUGGGACUGGGACACGGCCCAGACUCCUACGGGAGGCAGCAGUGGGGAAUAUUGGACGAUGGGCGAAAGCCUGAGCCAGCAGUGCCGCGUGAGUGAUGAAGGCCUGAGGGUUGUAAAGCUCUUUUACCCGGGAUGAUAAGGACAGUACCGGGAGAAUAAACUCCGGCUAACUCCGU